This 63-nucleotide transfer RNA is filed under the name Paralaudakia erythrogaster. RNAcentral's name for it is "tRNA-Tyr". RNAcentral also lists the same sequence under 1 other name. The record is from RNAcentral. Lineage: Eukaryota; Metazoa; Chordata; Lepidosauria; Squamata; Agamidae.
GGAAAGAGGAGCACGCUCCAUAAAUGGAAUUACAAACCACCGCCUAAAUUCAGCCAUCUUACC